GUGAAAUUAUAAUAAAUCUUUAAUUGAAAAAUAAACACAUUAUUUAUUUUUAAUCAAUCUCAGAUUUGUAGCAACUGAUAAAACACAGUCAAAUAUUUCCUUCUGUUUAUGUAUUACAAAUUUUGUCACAUCAAUAUUUUUUUUAUUCUUCAUUAUAUAUUUCAUAUUUUUACAAUUCAUUUUGAUGCCUAUAUCAAUCCAGUGCCUGAGGCAGUUGCUUGCUACUUCAUCUAUAGAACUAACUGAACUGUAAACAAGUGAUAAAGGACAUGAGUAGGAAAUGGGAUAACAGAUACAGAUACAUGGAAAUUAGAAGAGACAUUUUAUGAUGGAGUGAGGUUAGUCAAUUAGGAGUCAUCAAUGUGGGUAGUCAAUAGUGAAAGGACUGUAUGCUUGAAAGACAAAUAAAGUACACUAUAUAUAUAUCAUAUUUCAUAGUGAGUAAUUAUUAUAAUUAAUGCUUCAAUAAUUAAUAUCCAAACAGGAAAGAGAGAAACACUGAGAUGGCAACCGAUAUUCAAGAAAUGAUUGAGAAGAAAAUGAAGCAUUUAAUGAAUGGAACACAUACAUUUUUUAAUUCGAACAAAUGUGUCAAAUGAGGGGACUCAGAAGUGACAGAAGAAAUACAGUAGCAGUAAGGAGGACUCUCCUACUAACAUAUAUAGGGUUAGAACUAUUAUCUGCAAUCUGAAAUAACUUUUAUUCCUGCAAUAUGAAUAUGAAGGAAUAUAAUGAAAUUAAAGCAAUUUUCCAGAAGUUACAUAAAAUAAUAUUAACAAUUUUUGCUACACAAUUCUCAAGUUGACUUCAACAGCUGAGUAGUGCUUACAGUUAUGGAAUGAAUCUGAGUGAAAGAUUGAGAGAUCAAUUUGCAGUAGAAAUAAAUUAUCCUAAAUUUAAAAUAGAGAUGCAGCAAUGGUGGCCAAAUUGAAAAGAUACAGUGGACAAUCUGGUUAGUUUAACAAAGUAUUUGACCUAAGAAAAAGUCAUUAUAUGAAAAGCAGAACAAGAUGAAAGACAGGAGAAAGAAGAAAUUAUCAGGCCAUCCAACAGUUGAAGUAUUUGCAAUUAAUAACACAAUGAUAGAGGAAGAAUGCAAACACUGUGGUAGGAAAAGCAUAGUGAUGAGAAAGAAUGUUGAGCCAGAAAUGCUAAAUGUAAUCAAUACAGCCAGUAUAGACAUUAUGAAAGGAAAUUCUAAAGAAAGAAGGGAAUAAUAAAUAGGGCCAAAUAAAAUUAGUGAGAUUAAUCAAAGUAGGUACAAAAGAUAAUGACACAGAAUAAUCAAUAAGCAAGGAAGGAGAUGACAAAGUAAAUCUUAUAAACUAUAUUAAAAAAUGUAAACACUUAACAGUUGAAGUGAAAAUAAAUAACCACAUUAUGACAAUGGAUUUCAAUAUAGAGUAUUUUGAAUGGUGAUGGGAAAAAAAACUGGAAAAAGAUGGGAAAGUCAAAAUUAAAGUCAACAGAAAAUUUAGUAGGAUAUAAUGAAAAAUUUCUAAUGAUGCUAGGAGAAGAAAGAGCAAUAGUGACAUAUAGAGUGCAGACAAAAAAUUUGAAAUUCACCAUAGUAAAAGAAAAUGAUGUGCUUUUAUUUGAUUUACCAUGGAUCAAAGCAUUUGGGAUGAAACUCCCACCAGGAGUGCAUAUGGUAAAACAACAGACUUCAAAAUAUAGAGAAGAGAAUAGGGAAAAUCUGAGAGAUAUAAAAGAACUAGUACAUGAAUUAACUAAAAUACAGAUGUCUACAAAUUAUCAGAAUGGUUUCAAGAUUUUACUGUAGGUAUAUUGACAUGUGAUCAUAAAACUUUGCAAUUAC
RNAcentral lists this long non-coding RNA (1819 nucleotides) under Androctonus crassicauda. Lineage: Eukaryota; Metazoa; Arthropoda; Arachnida; Scorpiones; Buthidae. The record is from RNAcentral.